GACGAACGCUGGCGGCGUGCCUAAUACAUGCAAGUCGAACGCACAGUUUAUACCGUAGCUUGCUACACCAUAGACUGUGAGUUGCGAACGGGUGAGUAACGCGUAGGUAACCUGCCUGGUAGCGGGGGAUAACUAUUGGAAACGAUAGCUAAUACCGCAUAAUAUUAAUUAUUGCAUGAUAAUUAAUUGAAAGGUGCAAUUGCAACACUACCAGAUGGACCUGCGUUGUAUUAGCUAGUAGGGGAGGUAACGGCUCACCUAGGCGAAGAUACAUAGCCGACCUGAGAGGGUGGUCGGCCACACUGGGACUGGGACACGGCCCAGACUCCUACGGGAGGCAACAGUAGGGAAUCUUCGGCCAUGGACGGAAGUCUGACCGAGCAACGCCGCGUGAGUGAAGAAGGUUUUCGGAUCGUAAAGCUCUGUUGUAAGAGAAGAACGGGUGUGAGAGUGGAAAGUUCACACUGUGACGGUAUCUUACCAGAAAGGGACGGCUAACUACGUG
Molecule: ribosomal RNA, 505 nt
Filed under: uncultured bacterium
Lineage: Bacteria
Description: partial 16S ribosomal RNA
Rfam family: Bacterial small subunit ribosomal RNA
Source: RNAcentral